CACUUGGGAAUCUGCCCAGUAGUGGGGGACAACCAGAAGAAAUUCUGGCUAAUACCGCAUACGCACUACGGUGGAAAGUGGGGGACCUUCGGGCCUCACGCUAUUGGAUGAGCCCAAGUCGGAUUAGCUUGUUGGUGAGGUAAUGGCUCACCAAGGCGACGAUCAAUAGCUGGUCUGAGAGGAUGAUCAGCCACACUGGGACUGAGACACGGCCCAGACUCCUACGGGAGGCAGCAGUGGGGAAUAUUGGACAAUGGGCGCAAGUGAUCCAGCCAUGCCGCGUGAGUGAUGAAGGCCCUAGGGUUGUAAAGCUCUUUCAACGGUGAAGAUAAUGACGGUAACCGUAGAAGAAGCCCCGGCUAACUUCGUGCCAGCAGCCGCGGUAAUACGAAGGGGGCUAGCGUUGUUCGGAAUAACUGGGCGUAAAGCGCACGUAGGCGGAUUGGAAAGUUAGAGGUGAAAUCCCAGGGCUCAACCCUGGAACUGCCUUUAAAACUAUCAGUCUAGAGGUCGAGAGAGGUGAGUGGAAUUCCGAGUGUAGAGGUGAAAUUCGUAGAUAUUCGGAGGAACACCAGUGGCGAAGGGGCUCACUGGCUCGAUACUGACGCUGAGGUGCGAAAGUGUGGGGAGCAAACAGGAUUAGAUACCCUGGUAGUCCACACCGUAAACGAUGGAAGCUAGCUGUCAGAAUGUAUACAUUUUGGUGGCGCAGUAACGCAUUAAGCUUCCCGCCUGGGGAGUACGGUCGCAAGAUUAAAACUCAAAGGGAAUUGACGGGGGCCCGCACAAGCGUGGGAGCAUGUGGGUUUAAUUCGAAGC
This 819-nucleotide ribosomal RNA is filed under the name uncultured bacterium. RNAcentral describes it as "bacterial SSU rRNA". It matches the Rfam family "Bacterial small subunit ribosomal RNA", at positions 114 to 957 of the family's 1533-position model. The record is from RNAcentral.